UAACGCGAAGAACCUUACCAAGGCUUGACAUGGGCCGGAUCGCCGCAGAGAUGUGGUUUCCCCUUUGGGGCCGGUUCACAGGUGGUGCAUGGUUGUCGUCAGCUCGUGUCGUGAGAUGUUGGGUUAAGUCCCGCAACGAGCGCAACCCUCGUUCCAUGUUGCCAGCGCGUAAUGGCGGGGACUCAUGGGAGACUGCCGGGGUCAACUCGGAGGAAGGUGGGGACGACGUCAAAUCAUCAUGCCCCUUAUGUCUUGGGCUUCACGCAUGCUACAAUGGCCGGUACAAAGGGUUGCGAUACUGUGAGGUGGAGCUAAUCCCAAAAAGCCGGUCUCAGUUCGGAUUGGGGUCUGCAACUCGACCCCAUGAAGUCGGAGUCGCUAGUAAUCGCAGAUCAGCAACGCUGCGGUGAAUACGUUCCCGGGUCUUGUACACACCGA
Molecule: ribosomal RNA, 438 nt
Filed under: uncultured bacterium
Lineage: Bacteria
Description: bacterial SSU rRNA
Rfam family: Bacterial small subunit ribosomal RNA
Source: RNAcentral